GCCGACGUGGCCCAACCCGGUAGAGGCCGCAGCCUCAGAAGCUGUGUGUUCGUGAGGGUUCGAAUCCCUCCGUCGGCA
Molecule: transfer RNA, 78 nt
Filed under: Labilithrix sp.
Lineage: Bacteria; Pseudomonadati; Myxococcota; Polyangiales; Labilitrichaceae
Description: tRNA-Leu
Rfam family: tRNA
About the family: Transfer RNA (tRNA) molecules are approximately 80 nucleotides in length. Their secondary structure includes four short double-helical elements and three loops (D, anti-codon, and T loops).
Source: RNAcentral